Molecule: long non-coding RNA, 198 nt
Filed under: Serinus canaria (Common canary)
Lineage: Eukaryota; Metazoa; Chordata; Aves; Passeriformes; Fringillidae
Description: lncRNA (ENSSCAG00000006376.1)
Source: RNAcentral
AUCUUUUUGAAGCUCUGUGGAAAGUACUGCCCUCAGGAAAAGCUGACUUCCCUAAAGUCAAGAUGCCAGAACAGACAAUGUCAGUGCCUAUUUCAGCAGAAAGUCAUCUGGGUCAACUUAAAUCACCAAGAUAUUCUGGAUCAUCUCUCAGCUCUCAGAGGAAGCCUUGAAGCUGAUACAAAGAUCUCCACAGACGAC